Chinchilla lanigera (long-tailed chinchilla) is the source of this 1627-nucleotide long non-coding RNA. RefSeq lists it as uncharacterized. NCBI's taxonomy places the organism in Eukaryota, Metazoa, Chordata, Mammalia, Rodentia, Chinchillidae. The transcript is spliced from 4 exons. The record is from RefSeq and is a predicted model, not a curated record.
GCUCUUCUCUUCCAGCAGGCUGCAUCCUUCCCCGUCUGUAUUUUUCCACUCAGUCUCCCAGCCCCUGAAGUCUUCCUGCUGCUGGCCAGUGACCCGGUCUCAGGGGUCAACGUGCUGGGGUCUGGCUCAGCAGGGCAGCUGCCCCAGGAUCCAGCGUCUGGCAGCACAACGGCCCCCGGGCCACCUUCCCCAGAGCCCCAGCCCCCGGAUGCCCCUGUCCCCGAGGACACAGAGCUAGGGUCCCAACAGGCCCUGUGCCUGCGUCCAGCGCAGCUCUCCAAUGAAUCGGACACACUGCCUGAGGGAGUCAAACGCAGGAAGCGGCAAUUUCAUAUUUCUUUGCAGCACUGAAAUAUCUCCAACUAACCCACCAAAGAAGAAACACAUUCCCCCGAAGGCUGAGAAUUUAAACAGCACUGGUGUCCUGGUAGACCUCUGGCAACUGGUUUAUUAGAAAUGAAACAGAGUUACAGCCUUUCCAGCUCAACUCAGCAGGGUGAGGGGGCCAGGAUCCUCACUUUGUGAACAUCCUCAGCCUGUGCAAGAGAAAGGCAUGGAGAUGACUUAAUAGUGCCUACGGCUUGGACCUGCAGAACUCUCCCUCAGAGUCCCGAGGCGGCACCUGUGAGGACGCCUAGCUGGCUGCUCAAGAAUCCACUUGUGGGCCUGACUCCUGAGCCAGUGCUCUGCGUGAGAGUCCGCUGAACUAUGACAUUUCCCUCAUGAAGUGCCCACCUCCAGCACCGUAGAACACGGCCCUGUACCACCAAGCCUCCACAGACGGGUCAGCAGGUCUUUCGUGAACACAGGCAACCCAAGGAGAAAACAGACCACACACCUCAAAGGAAAGAAACUCCCUCUCUCCCACAAAAAAAGUGUUAUGAAAACUCUCAUUGACUUUACGCUAGCAGGAUCCUCCAAGCUCUUAAGGUCCCCAAACUCGGGCUCUGUGCUCGGCCUGUGAAAGGCAUUUUAGCAGGAAUCCUGCUUUGCCAGCAUCCCCUCAAAGUCUCGUGUCAUAGGAAGGUGGUCGGAUCACGGGAACCGAACUCAGUGCUGAGUGUGCUGUCGAGAGGCAGGGCAUGGUCAGAAGGGGCGGGUCGCUGGGGUGAGACCUGGGGAGGUCCAGCUCCCUCGCCUCUGCUCCCUGCUGUGAGCAGCUUUCCUCCAGACCCUGGCACCAUGCCUUGCUGCCUGGAGCCCCCAGGACAUGGACUAAAACUUCUGAAUUGUGAGCCAAAAUAUACCUCUGUUUCUCCAACUUGCAGGUGUCUGGUAUCAUGUCUCAGUGACACGAAAGUGAUGAACAGACAGUUUAGCAAGAACCCCUACUCGUGAUUUCUGAGCAGAUUUCUCAUUCUUCCACCUGCGAUAUCUUAUCCCUGUAGCCUACUUUCAGCAGGAACCCUGCUGAGCUGGCCUAGCAAGAGUCGUUGUGGCCUUAAUGCUGUCUCAGUAAUUUCCACUCACUGAUGCCCCCCCACUGUGCUCUUGACUGUAAAUCUGCACUUGUCCUUGUCGUACUUGGAGUUGAGUUCGAUUUUCCUCUCUUACUACUAAAUCCCUCUGUAGCACACCCCUCAUGACGUGAUUGUCUUCCUUACCAUUUUGAAAAUAAAUAAAUCCC